CCUACGGGAGGCUGCAGUGGGGAAUAUUGGACAAUGGGCGAAAGCCUGAUCCAGCCAUGCCGCGUGUGUGAAGAAGGCCUUCGGGUUGUAAAGCACUCUCAGUGGGGAAGAAAGCCUUGGGGCUAAUACCCUCGAGGAAGGACAUCACCCACAGAAGAAGCACCGGCUAACUCCGUGCCAGCAGCCGCGGUAAUACGGAGGGUGCGAGCGUUAAUCGGAAUUACUGGGCGUAAAGCGCGCGUAGGCGGUCUGAUAAGCCGGUUGUGAAAGCCCCGGGCUCAACCUGGGAACGGCAUCCGGAACUGUCAGGCUAGAGUGCAGGAGAGGAAGGUAGAAUUCCCGGUGUAGCGGUGAAAUGCGUAGAGAUCGGGAGGAAUACCAGUGGCGAAGGCGGCCUUCUGGACUGACACUGACGCUGAGGUGCGAAAGCGUGGGUAGCAAACAGGAUUAGAUACCCGAGUAGUC
This 465-nucleotide ribosomal RNA is filed under the name Vreelandella stevensii. RNAcentral describes it as "partial 16S ribosomal RNA". It matches the Rfam family "Bacterial small subunit ribosomal RNA", at positions 338 to 795 of the family's 1533-position model. Lineage: Bacteria; Pseudomonadati; Pseudomonadota; Gammaproteobacteria; Oceanospirillales; Halomonadaceae. The record is from RNAcentral.